CAGGAAAUGAACAUCUCACUGACACCUCUCCUGUCACUUCCUCAGUCACCAACUGAAGCAGAGACUUCCAAACUUCCAUUGGCAACAGAGGAAGCCCAACCUGAUGGAUCUGCAGCACAGAAGCAGGAUCUCCCCAGCCCCAGCAGGAGAAAGAGGCACCAGCCCAGCCCAGCAGCUCAGAGCCAGGGAGCUCCAGGGAGAGCCAGAGUUCUGCAGCCUCUGACAGCUCC
Long non-coding RNA from Catharus ustulatus (Swainson's thrush), 230 nucleotides. RefSeq lists it as uncharacterized. The transcript is spliced from 3 exons. The record is from RefSeq and is a predicted model, not a curated record. Lineage: Eukaryota; Metazoa; Chordata; Aves; Passeriformes; Turdidae.